AGAGUUUGAUCCUGGCUCAGAAUGAACGCUGGCGGCAUGGAUUAGGCAUGCAAGUCGAACGGUGAACUGGGAGCUUGCUCCUGGGGAUCAGUGGCGCAAGGGUGAGUAACACGUGAGUAACCUACCCCCGAGUCCGGGAUAGCCCUGGGAAACUGGGAUUAAUACCGGAUGUGGUUUUCUGGCGCAUGUCAGAUGUACUAAAGAUUCAUUGUUCGGGGAUGGGCUCGCGCCCUAUUAGCUAGUUGGUGAGGUAACGGCUCACCAAGGCUAUGACAGGUAGCUGGUCUGAGAGGAUGGUCAGCCACACUGGGACUGAGACACUGCCCAGACUCCUACGGGAGGCUGCAGUCGAGAAUCUUCCGCAAUGGGCGAAAGCCUGACGGAGCGAUGCCGCGUGAGGGAUGACGGCCUUCGGGUUGUAAACCUCUGUCAGAGGGGACGAAGAAUGUGACGGUACCCUCAGAGGAAGCCACGGCUAACUACGUGCCAGCAGCCGCGGUAAUACGUAGGUGGCGAGCGUUAUUCGGAUUUACUGGGCGUAAAGGGUCCGCAGGGGGUUUGCCAAGUCUGAUGUGAAAUCCCGCGGCUCAACCGCGGAACUGCAUUGGAUACUGGUGAACUAGAGUUCGCGAGGGGUGAGCGGAAUUCCUGGUGUAGCGAUGGAAUGCGUAGAUAUCAGGAAGAACACCGAUGGCGAAGGCGGCUCACUGGCGUGCAACUGACCCUCAUGGACGAAAGCGUGGGUAGCGAACAGGAUUAGAUACCCUGGUAGUCCACGCCGUAAACGUUGUGCACUAGAUGUGGGCGGAUCUGAUCCCGUCCGUGUCCCAGCUAACGCGUUAAGUGCACCGCCUGGGGACUACGGCCUCAAGGCUAAAACUCAAAGGAAUUGACGGGGGCCCGCACAAGCGGUGGAGCAUGUGGCUCAAUUCGAGGCAACGCGAAGAACCUUACCUGGGCUUGACAUAUACUGGACAGGCCGUGAAAGCGGUUUUCCCUUCGGGGCCGGUAUACAGGUGCUGCAUGGCUGUCGUCAGCUCGUGUCGUGAGAUGUUCGGUUAAGUCCGGCAACGAGCGCAACCCGUGUCGUCAGUUACCAUCGGGUAAUGCCGGGGACUCUGGCGAGACUGCCCGUGUCAAGCGGGAGGAAGGCGCGGACGACGUCAAGUCCGUAUGGCCCUUACGCCCAGGGCUGCACACGUGCUACAAUGGACGGUACAAUGGGAUGCGAAAUCGCGAGGUGGAGCAAAUCCGCAAAAACCGUCCUCAGUUCGGAUUGGAGUCUGCAACUCGACUCCAUGAAGUCGGAAUCGCUAGUAAAGGGGUAUCAGCAAUGGCCCCUUGAAUACGUUCCCGGGCCUUCUACACACCGCCCGUCACAUCAUGGAAGCUGGCUGCACCCGAAGUCGCUGCUCGAACCCCUCGGGGACGAAGGCGCCGAAGGUGUGUCCAGUGACUGGGAUGGAGUCGGAACAAGGUA
RNAcentral lists this ribosomal RNA (1480 nucleotides) under metagenome. Its description in RNAcentral is "bacterial SSU rRNA". It matches the Rfam family "Bacterial small subunit ribosomal RNA". The record is from RNAcentral.